RNAcentral lists this long non-coding RNA (894 nucleotides) under Olea europaea subsp. europaea. Lineage: Eukaryota; Viridiplantae; Streptophyta; Magnoliopsida; Lamiales; Oleaceae. The record is from RNAcentral.
GCCAAACUUACACUUUAUUAGUACUCGGGCAAAAUCAAGUUAAAGUACAUAAGUGAAAAUUGAUAAGGAAAUACAACUUAAUAGAAUGAGAUAUUUUCACUCCUUUGACAAAUGACAAUGAUCCCAUUUGGAUACAAAUGCAUGAACAGGCUUGAAUAAAGUGAGCCUAAAGAAUCCAAAUUGGGUAAUAUGUUUUCAUGGCACCAAAAUGGCCCCCAUGUGCUGAUGAAUGGAAUGCUCUAAUAUUUUCUCCAUUUCAUCCUCCGACAAGCAUCUUAUUCGAUAUGUCCCUCUUUUAAAUAACAAUGGAUCUUCCGAGAAGUAGUGUUUCACAUAGACAAAUAACCUCUUCCAUUGUUGGUAGGAGAAGUCCGGUAGAACAAUAUCGCUUACUAAAUAAUUCACAUAAUUAGUAUAUCAUGGUGCCUCGGAAACUGGUAGAAGAUGGAGGAUUUGGAGAAAUUUCUCAUCUUGAAAGGACUUAUUUUAUCUCUUCAACUUUCAUCUUGAUGCGAACCUGGUUAGCAAGUUUGCUAUCGAACCCAUGGGAAUUGACAGCGGAUCCCAAGAACACCCAAAUACGACCAAGGGUUAGGAUUUAACUUCUGAACGAUGAAACAAACAAUCUAAGGUAUAUUAAACCAACAACCUCUUGAUUACAAAGUCUCGAAAUCUCACCUGAAUUGUGGACUUAAACCAAUAAAAUUAUGAACCAAAAAAUCCAACAAGAACGAUGCUUGAAAGACUCCUUGAUUACAUAAUCCAAAGGUCCAACCCGAUGUUUCUGAACGCCACAAGAAAUCACUUUCUUGAUAAGUUCGAUUUGCCCAUUGAAGAACAAGAUAAUUGAAGCGAAAAGCUUCUAGAGAAUUUUAUUCAAUAAAUCAAUUUAUA